RNAcentral lists this ribosomal RNA (776 nucleotides) under uncultured Neocallimastigales. RNAcentral's name for it is "partial large subunit ribosomal RNA". It matches the Rfam family "Eukaryotic large subunit ribosomal RNA", at positions 24 to 644 of the family's 3401-position model. The record is from RNAcentral. Lineage: Eukaryota; Fungi; Neocallimastigomycota; Neocallimastigomycetes; Neocallimastigales.
UAUCUCUGUAGAGUCUGCAUAUCAAUAAGCGGAGGAAAAGAAACUAACUAGGAUUCCCCUCAGUAACGGCGAGUGAAGCGGGAAGAGCUCAAAUUUGAAAUCUUCAAGGUUUUACCUUGACGAAUUGUAGUUUAAAGGAAGUGUUUUCUGUUGGAGUUUUGGUAAAAGUUCUUUGGAAUAGGACAUCAUAGAGGGUGAGAAUCCCGUAUUUGACCAUUAUUUCCAGCUGUGUGAUACACUUUCAAAGAGUCGGAUUGUUUGGGAAUGCAGUCCAAAAUGGGUGGUAAAUUUCAUCUAAAGCUAAAUAUUGGCGAGAGACCGAUAGCGAACAAGUACCGUGAGGGAAAGAUGAAAAGAACUUUGAAAAGAGAGUUAAACAGUACGUGAAAUUGUCAAAAGGGAAAGCGUUUGACACCAGUGUUGUUUUCACGAAAAUCAAUUAAGAAUGAUGGGAUUUUGUGUUGUAUUGACUUUAUCAGCUUUCUGCACUUUUUUCUUAUCUUUUUUAAUGCACUUUUCGUUUAACAAGUCAACAUCAAUUUCUUUUGUUGUAAAAGAGUCAUUGGAAGGUGGCUGUUUCUUCGGAAAAAGUGUUUAUAGCCUUUGGCUUCUGCAAUCGGAGAGAUUGAGGUCUGCAGCGUAGAUCCUUCGGGGUUAGAUACAUUUGUGCUAAGCUAUAGUUCUUUAUAGACAACUUGUUGACUAUAAUCAAUCCUGUAACUUACUCGCUUAUGCUAUUUUACCUACGCUUAGGAUGUUGAGCGCAUGUCUCUCUC